CAAAAACAUCGCCUCCCGCAAAAAUCAAUGUAUAGGAGGUCUUACCUGCCCAGUGACUAUAAGUUAAACGGCCGCGGUAUUUUGACCGUGCAAAGGUAGCGCAAUCACUUGUCUUUUAAAUGAAGACCUGUAUGAAUGGUGAAACGAGGGCUUAACUGUCUCCCCAUUCUAGUCAAUGAAAUUGAUCUACCCGUGCAGAAGCGGAUAUAAUAAUACAAGACGAGAAGACCCUUUGGAGCUUAAGAUAAAAGACCAAUUAUGUCAAAAGUCCUAAAACAAAACUAAACCAAAUAAUACUGGUCCUAAUCUUCGGUUGGGGCGACCACGGGAGAAAACAAAACUCCCAUGCGGACUGGGGUAUCCCCUAAAACUAAGAGAGACAUCUCUAAGACACAGAACAUCUGACCACAAAGAUCCGGCUACAUGCCGACCAACGGACCAAGUUACCCUAGGGAUAACAGCGCAAUCCCCUUCCAGAGUCCAUAUCGACAAGGGGGUUUACGACCUCGAUGUUGGAUCAGGACAUCCUAAUGGUGUAGCCGCUAUUAAGGGUUC
Molecule: ribosomal RNA, 555 nt
Filed under: Peckoltia furcata
Lineage: Eukaryota; Metazoa; Chordata; Actinopteri; Siluriformes; Loricariidae
Description: partial 16S ribosomal RNA
Rfam family: Bacterial large subunit ribosomal RNA
Source: RNAcentral